CUAAUCCAGCCAGACGAUGGUUCCCCAUUGGGGAGAAUAGGGAAGACGGUGCGCCCGACAGGCAAAUCCGUCGCUGCCCCCGCAACUGUAAGUGGCUGUUUUCCGGCCCGGCCCGCCAUGGGGCUGGCAGUGUCACUGGUGCGCGCCGCAAGGUGGCGCCGGGAAGGCCGCCGGAAAGUCGAGACUCCACCCUCCGCCACAAGCCAGGAGACCUGCCAUCCUUCCCGGUUCCCG
This 234-nucleotide non-coding RNA is filed under the name Komagataeibacter medellinensis. The record is from RNAcentral. Lineage: Bacteria; Pseudomonadati; Pseudomonadota; Alphaproteobacteria; Acetobacterales; Acetobacteraceae.